CCUACGUGAGGCAGCCGUGAGGAAUAUUGGUCAAUGGGCGCGCGCCUGAACCAGCCAAGUAGCGUGAAGGAUGACUGCCCUACGGGUUGUAAACUUCUUUUAUAAGGGAAUAAAGUGAGGCACGUGUGCCUUUUUGUAUGUACUUUAUGAAUAAGGAUCGGCUAAAUUCGUGCCAGCAGCCGCGGUAAUACGGAGGAUCCGAGCUUUAUCCGGAUUUAUUGGGUUUAAAGGGAGCGUAGAUGGGUUGUUAAGUCAGUGGUGAAAGUUUGCGGCUCAACCGUAAAAUUGCAAUUGAUACUGGCAGUCUUGAGUACAGUUGAGGUAGGCGGAAUUCGUGGUGUAGCGGUGAAAUGCUUAGAUAUCACGAAGAACUCCGAUUGCGAAGGCAGCUUACUAAACUGCCACUGACAUUGAUGCUCGAAAGUGUGGGUAUCAAACAGGAUUAGAUACCCUUGUAGUC
Molecule: ribosomal RNA, 460 nt
Filed under: uncultured bacterium
Lineage: Bacteria
Description: partial 16S ribosomal RNA
Rfam family: Bacterial small subunit ribosomal RNA
Source: RNAcentral